This 609-nucleotide long non-coding RNA is filed under the name Panax ginseng (ginseng). Its description in RNAcentral is "long non-coding RNA (PGIN_LNC000942)". The record is from RNAcentral. Lineage: Eukaryota; Viridiplantae; Streptophyta; Magnoliopsida; Apiales; Araliaceae.
CAGCGCGACAAGCAGAGGAAGAAGAGCCUGAAGAAGAAGAUGACGAAGAGGGACAGAGAAAGGGAAAGAGAGGCGGCGCUAAAGAGUACGACGAUGAUGGAGAUCUCACCAUUUGUCGUGUGAGUUUAGAUUCGAUUCAUCAUUUUAUAUUUUUCUUGGAGUAUUAGAAUUAAUUAAAUGAUUUUCUAAGUGUUUAUAAGUAAAAUGGUUUAGAUGUAUAGGUAUUCAAAUUUUCAUUGAGAGUUUUAGACCUUAUAUAUACUUCAAUAGUCUAUCCAAAUUGUCAUGUUCUUUGGGGCUGAAACUUAUUGGCCUUGUAAUUCAUGUUUAACUUAUUCCAUCUUCUCCUUUUUCUGAAAUUCAAAUUGUCAUUGGUGAAUGGAAUUUGUGAUUUACCGAUCUAGUGUUUUGUAUGACCUGGGUGCAAAAUCUUUGAAGUGAAGGCAAACUUUCCCCCUUGCAUUAGUGUACAUUUAUUCUCUUGGAAUUUAAGAUCCAUAUCAAGCAGUUAUCAACUUCAUACUCCUUCAUGCUAUUGGUUUUGCUGAAUGGUCCAUCUUGGAUCGAUAUCUGAUGUAAAUUUGCACUUGCACGGUCUGUAUGCUAUGA